UAUAUAAUAUAUAAUAUAUAA
RNAcentral lists this non-coding RNA (21 nucleotides) under Caenorhabditis elegans. Lineage: Eukaryota; Metazoa; Nematoda; Chromadorea; Rhabditida; Rhabditidae. The record is from RNAcentral.